GAUGAACGCUGGCGGCGUGCCUAAUACAUGCAAGUCGAACGCAUUGAGAGAAGUGCUUGCACUUUUCAAUUUGAGUGGCGAACGGGUGAGUAACACGUGGGCAACCUACCUGAUAGCGGGGGAUAACGAGUGGAAACAUUCGCUAAUACCGCAUUACAAUAGAGAAGGCAUCUUCUUUAUUUAAAAGGCGCUUUCAAGCGUCACUAUCAGAUGGGCCCGCGGUGCAUUAGUUAGUUGGUGGGGUGAAGGCCUACCAAGACGAUGAUGCAUAGCCGAGUUGAGGGACUGAUCGGCUACAUUGGGACUGAGACACGGCCCAAACUCCUACGGGAGGCUGCAGUAGGGAAUCUUACACAAUGGACGAAAGUCUGAUGGAGCAACGCCGCGUGUGUGAUGAAGGCUUUCGGGUCGUAAAGCACUGCUGUAUGGGAAGAAAUGCUAGGCUAGGAAAUGAGCUUAGUUUGACGGUACCAUACCAGAAAGGGACGGCUAAAUACGUGCCAGCCGCCGCCGUAA
RNAcentral lists this ribosomal RNA (516 nucleotides) under uncultured bacterium. RNAcentral describes it as "partial 16S ribosomal RNA". It matches the Rfam family "Bacterial small subunit ribosomal RNA", at positions 28 to 523 of the family's 1533-position model. The record is from RNAcentral.